UGCCAUAUGAAGGUGGGAAGACUAGGCAAA
This 30-nucleotide non-coding RNA is filed under the name Mus musculus (house mouse). Lineage: Eukaryota; Metazoa; Chordata; Mammalia; Rodentia; Muridae. The record is from RNAcentral.